This 312-nucleotide long non-coding RNA is filed under the name Lathyrus oleraceus (garden pea). RNAcentral's name for it is "Pisum sativum (pea) long non-coding RNA (PSAT_LNC003088)". The record is from RNAcentral. Lineage: Eukaryota; Viridiplantae; Streptophyta; Magnoliopsida; Fabales; Fabaceae.
UCAUCGAUGUGAAAGGAUCUCUAAAAAACAUACACAUGGAGUGUGUUUAUUAGUAAUAUUAUAACAAUAUAUGGUCAACAAAUAGUCAACAAAAAAACAUAUAAUAAUAUAUGGUAAGUACCUGUAUCUCGGACCAUAUUUUUUCUUUGCCAACCUCAAUUCCGGACUUCUCCAAUUAUCACAUGUAAUCAGAAUAUGUUGUCGAACAAGGAAACCAAUGUAACUUGCCAACAUUGAACCGUUAGGCUCAAUUAGUUGGUCUUCAGCACUCCAAUGUACUUCGAAUUUUUCACCCUUGUCUCUUGCACGAAU